RNAcentral lists this ribosomal RNA (300 nucleotides) under uncultured Aeropyrum sp. RNAcentral's name for it is "bacterial SSU rRNA". It matches the Rfam family "Bacterial small subunit ribosomal RNA", at positions 496 to 795 of the family's 1533-position model. The record is from RNAcentral. Lineage: Archaea; Thermoproteati; Thermoproteota; Thermoprotei; Acidilobales; Acidilobaceae.
GGUGACGUCGUGUCAGCACGCAGGGUAGUACUAAGGGGGGUGGCGUUAAGUUGAAUGUUUGUGCGUAAAGGCGUCUGAGGCGGCUUGUCACGUUGGUUGUGAAAGCCCUAGUGUUAACCUCGGGGCGGCAGGCUAUAGUGGCGAGCUAGGGUGUGGUAGGGUAGAUCGGAAUUCCUGGUGUAGCGGGGAAAUGCGCAGAUAUCAGGAGGAACACCGGUGGCGAAGGCGGAUCUCUGGGCCAUUACUGACGCUGAGGAGCGAAAGCGUGGGGAGCGAACAGGAUUAGAUACCCCAGUAGUC